This 255-nucleotide ribosomal RNA is filed under the name uncultured bacterium. RNAcentral's name for it is "partial 16S ribosomal RNA". It matches the Rfam family "Bacterial small subunit ribosomal RNA", at positions 524 to 776 of the family's 1533-position model. The record is from RNAcentral.
GACGAACCGUGCGAACGUUAUUCGGAAUCACUGGGCUUAAAGCGCGUGUAGGCGGGCCGGCACGUCCGGUGCUGAAAGCCCCCGGCUCAACCGGGGAAGGGGCACGGAUACGGCCGGCCUGGAGGGGGGGGGUAGGGGACCUGGAACUUCCGGUGGAGCGGUGAAAUGCGUUGAGAUCGGAAGGAACGCCCGUGGCGAAAGCGAGGUCCUGGGCCCUUACUGACGCUGAGACGCGAAAGCCAGGGAGCGAACGGG